This 462-nucleotide ribosomal RNA is filed under the name Staphylococcus aureus. RNAcentral's name for it is "partial 23S ribosomal RNA". It matches the Rfam family "Bacterial large subunit ribosomal RNA", at positions 1585 to 2048 of the family's 2925-position model. The record is from RNAcentral. Lineage: Bacteria; Bacillati; Bacillota; Bacilli; Caryophanales; Staphylococcaceae.
UUCGAGUCGUUGAUUUCACACUGCCGAGAAAAGCCUCUAGAUAGAAAAUAGGUGCCCGUACCGCAAACCGACACAGGUAGUCAAGAUGAGAAUUCUAAGGUGAGCGAGCGAACUCUCGUUAAGGAACUCGGCAAAAUGACCCCGUAACUUCGGGAGAAGGGGUGCUCUUUAGGGUUAACGCCCAGAAGAGCCGCAGUGAAUAGGCCCAAGCGACUGUUUAUCAAAAACACAGGUCUCUGCUAAACCGUAAGGUGAUGUAUAGGGGCUGACGCCUGCCCGGUGCUGGAAGGUUAAGAGGAGUGGUUAGCUUCUGCGAAGCUACGAAUCGAAGCCCCAGUAAACGGCGGCCGUAACUAUAACGGUCCUAAGGUAGCGAAAUUCCUUGUCGGGUAAGUUCCGACCCGCACGAAAGGCGUAACGAUUUGGGCACUGUCUCAACGAGAGACUCGGUGAAAUCAUAGU